GAGAAGCCUGACAGUGGUAUGAAAUGGAGGAGAUUCCUUUCAACAGGAGUUACCCGAACAAAGUUGGCAGAGGAAGAUGCUACUGAUGGACUCUUGUUGCCUGUUUCACACUCCAUGGCCCCUACAGAAAAGCUGUUUGGGAUUCAACAGCACCAUCAGCAGGCAUAAUGGGCACUUACUUCUGAGGCGGACAUCUACUUAAGAAGAUGGAACCCAGUGGACCUUCAAUAAAACACCCAAAUGGAGGCAGUUCCUUACGCGAUGUGAUAGAAACUUGAAGGUCUUUGGAGAACAGGAAAAUUGGUGAAGAAAGGAAAGUGCUGCUGAAGAGCCAAUCUGCAUAAUCAGCUGAGUCAAGAUGCUCAGACUCCAUAAUUGAGCUAAAAGGAAAAGUGUAACACUGCUCUGUAUCUAAUCUCCCUCAAACUCCUUAAAGUUCCGACAAUCUGCUGUGUAUUGUAUUCUGUGACCUUACCUUUCCUCUUUAAUUUUCACUAUGGAAUUGAUUCAAAAAUGUUCUUUAAAUGAGGGUCAUUUGGGAGAGAAUUUUACCAUGUUCCUCGCGGUAACAGAAGAC
Myotis brandtii (Brandt's bat) is the source of this 577-nucleotide long non-coding RNA. RefSeq lists it as uncharacterized. Lineage: Eukaryota; Metazoa; Chordata; Mammalia; Chiroptera; Vespertilionidae. The transcript has 3 exons. The record is from RefSeq and is a predicted model, not a curated record.